Molecule: ribosomal RNA, 496 nt
Filed under: uncultured bacterium
Lineage: Bacteria
Description: partial 16S ribosomal RNA
Rfam family: Bacterial small subunit ribosomal RNA
Source: RNAcentral
GAUGAACGCUGGCGGCGUGCCUAAUACAUGCAAGUCGAGCGAACAGACGAGGAGCUUGCUCCUCUGAUGUUAGCGGCGGACGGGUGAGUAACACGUGGAUAACCUACCUAUAAGACUGGGAUAACUUCGGGAAACCGGAGCUAAUACCGGAUAACAUGUUGAACCGCAUGGUUCAACAGUGAAAGACGGUCUUGCUGUCACUUAUAGAUGGAUCCGCGCCGCAUUAGCUAGUUGGUAAGGUAACGGCUUACCAAGGCAACGAUGCGUAGCCGACCUGAGAGGGUGAUCGGCCACACUGGAACUGAGACACGGUCCAGACUCCUACGGGAGGCAGCAGUAGGGAAUCUUCCGCAAUGGGCGAAAGCCUGACGGAGCAACGCCGCGUGAGUGAAGAAGGUCUUCGGAUCGUAAAACUCUGUUAUUAGGGAAGAACAAAUGUGUAAGUAACUAUGCACGUCUGACGGUACCUAAUCAGAAAGCCACGGCUAACUACGUG